GAUGAACGCUAGCGGCAGGCUUAACACAUGCAAGUCGAGGGGCAUCGGGAGGGAAGCUUGCUUUCCUUGCCGGCGACCGGCGCACGGGUGAGUAACACGUAUGCAACCUGCCCUCUUCAGGGGGACAACCUUCCGAAAGGGGGGCUAAUCCCGCGUAUAUCGGUUUCGGGCAUCCGAGAUCGAGGAAAGAUUCAUCGGAAGAGGAUGGGCAUGCGGCGCAUUAGCUUGACGGCGGGGUAACGGCCCACCGUGGCGACGAUGCGUAGGGGUUCUGAGAGGAAGGUCCCCCACACUGGUACUGAGACACGGACCAGACUCCUACGGGAGGCAGCAGUGAGGAAUAUUGGUCAAUGGGAGAGAUCCUGAACCAGCCAAGCCGCGUGAGGGAAGACGGCCCUAUGGGUUGUAAACCUCUUUUGUCGGAGAACAAAACCCGGGACGUGUCCCGGACUGCGUGUAUCCGAAGAAAAAGCAUCGGCUAACUCCGUGCCAGCAGCCGCGGUAAUACGGAGGAUGCGAGCGUUAUCCGGAUUUAUUGGGUUUAAAGGGUGCGUAGGCGGUCCGUUAAGUCAGCGGUAAAAUUGCGGGGCUCAACCCCGUCGAGCCGUUGAAACUGGCAGACUUGAGUUGGCGAGAAGUACGCGGAAUGCGCGGUGUAGCGGUGAAAUGCAUAGAUAUCGCGCAGAACUCCGAUUGCGAAGGCAGCGUACCGGCGCCAGACUGACGCUGAGGCACGAAAGCGUGGGGAUCGAACAGGAUUAGAUACCCUGGUAGUCCACGCAGUAAACGAUGAAUGCUGGUUGUCCGGGUCGAAUGAGAUCUGGGCGGCGAAGCGAAAGCGAUAAGCAUUCCACCUGGGGAGUACGCCGGCAACGGUGAAACUCAAAGGAAUUGACGGGGGCCCGCACAAGCGGAGGAACAUGUGGUUUAAUUCGAUGAUACGCGAGGAACCUUACCCGGGCUCAAACGGGAGCGGAAUGGACCAGAGACGGUUCAGCCUACGGGCCGCUUCCGAGGUGCUGCAUGGUUGUCGUCAGCUCGUGCCGUGAGGUGUCGGCUUAAGUGCCAUAACGAGCGCAACCCCCGCCGGCAGUUGCUAACGGGCAAUGCCGAGGACUCUGCCGGGACUGCCGCCGCAAGGCGUGAGGAAGGCGGGGAUGACGUCAAAUCAGCACGGCCCUUACGUCCGGGGCGACACACGUGUUACAAUGGGCGGUACAGCGGGAAGCCAGGCGGCGACGCCGAGCGGAACCCGAAAGCCGUUCUCAGUUCGGAUCGGAGUCUGCAACCCGACUCCGUGAAGCUGGAUUCGCUAGUAAUCGCGCAUCAGCCAUGGCGCGGUGAAUACGUUCCCGGGCCUUGUACACACCGCCCGUCAAGCCAUGGAAGCCGGGGGUGCCUGAAGUGCGCUGCCGCGAGGAGCGCCCUAGGGUAAAACCGGUGACUGGGGCU
Molecule: ribosomal RNA, 1452 nt
Filed under: uncultured bacterium
Lineage: Bacteria
Description: bacterial SSU rRNA
Rfam family: Bacterial small subunit ribosomal RNA
Source: RNAcentral